RNAcentral lists this ribosomal RNA (253 nucleotides) under uncultured bacterium. RNAcentral's name for it is "partial 16S ribosomal RNA". It matches the Rfam family "Bacterial small subunit ribosomal RNA", at positions 524 to 776 of the family's 1533-position model. The record is from RNAcentral.
UACGUAGGGAGCAAGCGUUGUCCGGAUUUACUGGGUGUAAAGGGUGCGUAGGCGGCACUGCAAGUCAGGCGUGAAAUAUAUGGGCUUAACCCAUAGACUGCGUUUGAAACUGUGGUGCUUGAGUGAAGUAGAGGUAGGCGGAAUUCCCGGUGUAGCGGUGAAAUGCGUAGAGAUCGGGAGGAACACCAGUGGCGAAGGCGGCUUACUGGGCUUUAACUGACGCUGAGGCACGAAAGCAUGGGUAGCAAACAGG